CAAGAAUAGAGGAGUAGGAAUUUUCUAGAAAUCAUAAGGUUUUCAUUUAAAGUUCCUAGGUUAUGAAUUAAUACUGGUUAAUAAAAUAUAGGAGAAAAAAAGAUAGAGAAAGGUAAAAUAAGGUUUUUAUUUAAGAUUCCUAGGUUAUGAAUUAAAACUGGUUAAUAAAAUAAAUAAGAGAAAAAAAGAUAGAGAAAGAAUUCCUAGGUUAUGAAUUAAAACUGGUUCAUAAAAUAGAAAAGAUAGAGAAAGGUAUAAAUAGCGAUGAAUAUAAGUAACCGAAUAAAAAAACUUCUUUUAAACAUUUUAAUAUAAAAGUUAGCGAUAAAAGGUUUACACGACGUUUCGAUGUCUUCAUAAAUAAAAGCCAAGUAAAAACAUGUCCUUAUAUAUGCUCUAGGCUAGACAGUACGUCUAUGCAUGAGCACUCAACUCGAGGGAUUGUUACCACGAAGCCAGCCCGCGCAUAUCUUCGAAGAAUCGAAGUUAUAGUAAUGUUUGAUUGGUGUAAGGGGAAUUUAUUUGGGAUUCGGAAAUUACUUAAUUGUUGGAAAUAGUUUAUUAGAAUAUUGAUAGAGAAUAUUGACAAUCUCAGCAUUAAGGUGUCAAGGGCAAUAGGAGUCAUUCGCCGAGAUAAAAAUAUGUUAAACAAGAU
This is a non-coding RNA of Paramuricea clavata, 655 nucleotides long. Lineage: Eukaryota; Metazoa; Cnidaria; Anthozoa; Malacalcyonacea; Plexauridae. The record is from the annotation of a GenBank genome assembly.